This 24-nucleotide non-coding RNA is filed under the name Rattus norvegicus (Norway rat). Lineage: Eukaryota; Metazoa; Chordata; Mammalia; Rodentia; Muridae. The record is from RNAcentral.
UCUAACGUUCCUGUUGGUGGCAGC